UAGCGAAAUUCCUUGUCGGGUAAGUUCCGACCCGCACGAAUAGUGUAACGACAGCCACACUGUCUCCACGAUGGACUCGGCGAAAUUGUGGUCGUGGUGAAGACGCCACGUUCCCGCACCAAGACGGAAAGACCCCGUGAACCUUUACUACAGCUUGGCACUGAACAUUGACCCUACAUGUGUAGGAUAGGUGGGAGACUAUGAAACAUUGUCGCUAGAUGAUGUGGAGUCAACCUUGAAAUACCACCCUUGUAUGUUUGAUGUUCUAACAUUGCCCCCUAAUCGGGGGUAUGGACAGUGUCUGGUGGGUAGUUUGACUGGGGCGGUCGCCUCCCAAAGAGUAACGGAGGCGCGCGAUGGUAGGCUCAAGCCGGUCGGACAUCGGCUGUUGAGUGCAAUGGCAUAAGCCUGCCUGACUGUGAGAUCGACAGGUCGAGCAGAGACGAAAGUCGGUCAUAGUGAUCCGGUGGUCCCGAGUGGAAGGGCCAUCGCUCAACGGAUAAAAGGUACGCCGGGG
Molecule: ribosomal RNA, 517 nt
Filed under: Schmidingerella taraikaensis
Lineage: Eukaryota; Ciliophora; Spirotrichea; Tintinnida; Rhabdonellidae
Description: partial Bacterial large subunit ribosomal RNA
Rfam family: Bacterial large subunit ribosomal RNA
Source: RNAcentral